AACGAACGCUGGCGGCAUGCCUAACACAUGCAAGUCGAACGAGACCUUCGGGUCUAGUGGCGCACGGGUGCGUAACGCGUGGGAACCUGCCCUUAGUUUCUGAAUAACUCCCCGAAAGGGGUGCUAAUACCUGAUAAUGUCUUCGGACCAAAGAUUUAUCGCCUUUGGAUGGGCCCGCGUUGGAUUAUCUAGUUGGUAGGGUAAAAGCCUACCAAGGCGACGAUCCAUAGCUGUUCUGAGAGGAUGAUCAGCCACACUGGGACUGAGACACGGCCCAGACUCCUACGGGAGGCAGCAGUGGGAAAUAUUAAACGAUGGGCGAAAGCAUGAUCCAGCAAAGCCGCGUGAGAGAUGAAGGCCUUAGGGUUGUAAAGAUCUAUUAAACGGGAUGAUAAUGACAGUACCGGGAGAAUAAGCGAAGGAUAACUCCGUG
This 433-nucleotide ribosomal RNA is filed under the name uncultured bacterium. RNAcentral describes it as "partial 16S ribosomal RNA". It matches the Rfam family "Bacterial small subunit ribosomal RNA", at positions 29 to 507 of the family's 1533-position model. The record is from RNAcentral.